Molecule: ribosomal RNA, 241 nt
Filed under: uncultured Actinomycetales bacterium
Lineage: Bacteria; Bacillati; Actinomycetota; Actinomycetes; Actinomycetales
Description: partial 16S ribosomal RNA
Rfam family: Bacterial small subunit ribosomal RNA
Source: RNAcentral
GCUCGAGUGGCGAACGGGUGAGUAACACGUGGGUGAUCUGCCCUGCACUUCGGGAUAAGCUUGGGAAACUGGGUCUAAUACCGGAUAGGAGCCAUCUUUAGUGUGGUGGUUGGAAAGUUUUUCGGUGUAGGAUGAGCUCGCGGCCUAUCAGCUUGUUGGUGGGGUAAUGGCCUACCAAGGCGGCGACGGGUAGCCGGCCUGAGAGGGUGUACGGCCACAUUGGGACUGAGAUACGGCCCAG